RNAcentral lists this ribosomal RNA (253 nucleotides) under uncultured bacterium. Its description in RNAcentral is "partial 16S ribosomal RNA". It matches the Rfam family "Bacterial small subunit ribosomal RNA", at positions 524 to 776 of the family's 1533-position model. The record is from RNAcentral.
UACAGAGGGGGCAAGCGUUGUUCGGAAUUACUGGGCGUAAAGGGCGCGUAGGCGGCCUUCUAAGUCGAACGUGAAAUCCCCGGGCUCAACCCGGGAACUGCGUCCGAUACUGGAUGGCUUGAGAUCGGGAGAGGGAUGCGGAAUUCCAGGUGUAGCGGUGAAAUGCGUAGAUAUCUGGAGGAACACCGGUGGCGAAGGCGGCAUCCUGGACCGACACUGACGCUGAGGAGCGAAAGCCAGGGGAGCAAACGGG